UUUCCGUAGGUGAACCUGCGGAAGGAUCAUUAAAGAAAUUUAAUAAUUUUGAAAAUGGAUUUUUUUGUUUUGGCAAGAGCAUGAGAGCUUUUACUGGGCAAGAAGACAAGAGAUGGAGAGUCCAGCCGGGCCUGCGCUUAAGUGCGCGGUCUUGCUAGGCUUGUAAGUUUCUUUCUUGCUAUUCCAAACGGUGAGAGAUUUCUGUGCUUUUGUUAUAGGACAAUUAAAACCGUUUCAAUACAACACACUGUGGAGUUUUCAUAUCUUUGCAACUUUUUCUUUGGGCAUUCGAGCAAUCGGGGCCCAGAGGUAACAAACACAAACAAUUUUAUUUAUUCAUUAAAUUUUUGUCAAAAACAAGAAUUUUCGUAACUGGAAAUUUUAAAAUAUUAAAAACUUUCAACAACGGAUCUCUUGGUUCUCGCAUCGAUGAAGAACGCAGCGAAAUGCGAUACGUAAUGUGAAUUGCAGAAUUCCGUGAAUCAUCGAAUCUUUGAACGCACAUUGCGCCCCUUGGUAUUCCAGGGGGCAUGCCUGUUUGAGCGUCAUUUCCUUCUCAAACAUUCUGUUUGGUAGUGAGUGAUACUCUUUGGAGUUAACUUGAAAUUGCUGGCCUUUUCAUUGGAUGUUUUUUUUCCAAAGAGAGGUUUCUCUGCGUGCUUGAGGUAUAAUGCAAGUACGGUCGUUUUAGGUUUUACCAACUGCGGCUAAUCUUUUUUAUACUGAGCGUAUUGGAACGUUAUCGAUAAGAAGAGAGCGUCUAGGCGAACAAUGUUCUUAAAGUUUGACCUCAAAUCAGGUAGGAGUACCCGCUGAACUUAA
This 822-nucleotide ribosomal RNA is filed under the name Saccharomyces cerevisiae (brewer's yeast). Its description in RNAcentral is "eukaryotic LSU rRNA". The stretch from base 395 to 548 matches the Rfam family "5.8S ribosomal RNA". Lineage: Eukaryota; Fungi; Ascomycota; Saccharomycetes; Saccharomycetales; Saccharomycetaceae. The record is from RNAcentral.